AACAAAUCGAUAUCAACCCCAAAACAGAUUAAUUCUCGAAAGAUUUAACCUGCUCUGAUACCAAGUUGAAUAUCAGAGUGCGCAACGAACAAGACUAACAAAAUAAGAAUAUUAUUAAAUAAACGAGAAUGCCGAAACGGCUACAAAAUCCUAAGAGACUACAUUGUGAAUAGCUUGUAUAUCAAAUGAAUAACAAGCAGACUAUUUAUAAUAAACUAACCCUAAUCCUAAAAGGUAAAAAAUCAAAACCCUAAUGCUAUCGGGCUAAGCUCAGAAAACUAAACAUUCAAAUAAACCUAAAUAUACUAUUAUUUUCCAACAGUUAGUCUCUUGCACUUGUUGGGCCUCUGUUGCCCACUAUAACUAUGAAAGUAAAUAAGAAAUAAAAAAUAAAAUAUAUGGCAGGGUAUGGAAGUUUUCAGUCAGAAGAAUCUUAUGGUUGAACAACACAAUCUUGGAAGCAGAAACAAUAUACACAUGUA
RNAcentral lists this long non-coding RNA (482 nucleotides) under Malus domestica (apple). RNAcentral's name for it is "long non-coding RNA (MDOM_LNC011100)". Lineage: Eukaryota; Viridiplantae; Streptophyta; Magnoliopsida; Rosales; Rosaceae. The record is from RNAcentral.